This 516-nucleotide ribosomal RNA is filed under the name uncultured bacterium. RNAcentral describes it as "partial 16S ribosomal RNA". It matches the Rfam family "Bacterial small subunit ribosomal RNA", at positions 28 to 523 of the family's 1533-position model. The record is from RNAcentral.
GACGAACGCUGGCGGCAUGCCUAAUACAUGCAAGUCGAGCGGAGUUGAUAGAAAGCUUGCUUUCUUGAUACUUAGCGGCGGACGGGUGAGUAACACGUAUGCAACCUGCACUCAAGCUUGGGACAACUACCGGAAACGGUAGCUAAUACCGAAUACUUGUGUUCUUUGCCUGAAGGAAAACGGAAAGACGGAGCAAUCUGUCACUUCGGGAUGGACCGUCUGCGCAUUAGCUAGUUGGUGAGGUAACGGCUCACCAAGGCGACGAUGCGUAGCCGACCUGAGAGGGUGAUCGGCCACACUGGGACUGAGACACGGCCCAGACUCCUACGGGAGGCAGCAGUAGGGAAUCUUCCGCAAUGGGCGAAAGCCUGACGGAGCAAUGCCGCGUGAGUGAUGAAGGUUUUCGGAUCGUAAAGCUCUGUUGCCAGGGAAGAACGCUUGGGAGAGUAACUGCUCCCAAGGUGACGGUACCUGAGAAGAAAGCCCCGGCUAACUACGUGCCAGCAGCCGCCGUAA